RNAcentral lists this ribosomal RNA (253 nucleotides) under uncultured bacterium. RNAcentral describes it as "partial 16S ribosomal RNA". It matches the Rfam family "Bacterial small subunit ribosomal RNA", at positions 524 to 776 of the family's 1533-position model. The record is from RNAcentral.
UACGUAGGGUGCGAGCGUUGCCCGGACUUAUUGGGCGUAAAGAGCUCGUAGGCGGUUUGUCGCGUCGGCCGUGAAAUCUCCACGCUUAACGUGGAGCGUGCGGUCGAUACGGGCAGACUUGAGUUCGGUAGGGGAGACUGGAAUUCCUGGUGUAGCGGUGAAAUGCGCAGAUAUCAGGAGGAACACCGGUGGCGAAGGCGGGUCUCUGGGCCGAUACUGACGCUGAGGAGCGAAAGCGUGGGGAGCGAACAGG